CAGCAGCCGCGGUAAUACAGAGGGUGCGAGCGUUAAUCAGAUUUACUGGGCGUAAAGCGUGCGUAGGCGGCUUUUUAAGUCGGAUGUGAAAUCCCUGAGCUUAACUUAGGAAUUGCAUUCGAUACUGGGAAGCUAGAGUAUGGGAGAGGAUGGUAGAAUUCCAGGUGUAGCGGUGAAAUGCGUAGAGAUCUGGAGGAAUACCGAUGGCGAAGGCAGCCAUCUGGCCUAAUACUGACGCUGAGGUACGAAAGCAUGGGGAGCAAACAGGAUUAGAUACCCGCGUAGUCCCUGUCUCUUAUAC
Molecule: ribosomal RNA, 301 nt
Filed under: uncultured bacterium
Lineage: Bacteria
Description: partial 16S ribosomal RNA
Rfam family: Bacterial small subunit ribosomal RNA
Source: RNAcentral